Molecule: ribosomal RNA, 769 nt
Filed under: Lactiplantibacillus plantarum
Lineage: Bacteria; Bacillati; Bacillota; Bacilli; Lactobacillales; Lactobacillaceae
Description: bacterial SSU rRNA
Rfam family: Bacterial small subunit ribosomal RNA
Source: RNAcentral
AACUCUGGUAUUGAUUGGUGCUUGCAUCAUGAUUUACAUUUGAGUGAGUGGCGAACUGGUGAGUAACACGUGGGAAACCUGCCCAGAAGCGGGGGAUAACACCUGGAAACAGAUGCUAAUACCGCAUAACAACUUGGACCGCAUGGUCCGAGUUUGAAAGAUGGCUUCGGCUAUCACUUUUGGAUGGUCCCGCGGCGUAUUAGCUAGAUGGUGGGGUAACGGCUCACCAUGGCAAUGAUACGUAGCCGACCUGAGAGGGUAAUCGGCCACAUUGGGACUGAGACACGGCCCAAACUCCUACGGGAGGCAGCAGUAGGGAAUCUUCCACAAUGGACGAAAGUCUGAUGGAGCAACGCCGCGUGAGUGAAGAAGGGUUUCGGCUCGUAAAACUCUGUUGUUAAAGAAGAACAUAUCUGAGAGUAACUGUUCAGGUAUUGACGGUAUUUAACCAGAAAGCCACGGCUAACUACGUGCCAGCAGCCGCGGUAAUACGUAGGUGGCAAGCGUUGUCCGGAUUUAUUGGGCGUAAAGCGAGCGCAGGCGGUUUUUUAAGUCUGAUGUGAAAGCCUUCGGCUCAACCGAAGAAGUGCAUCGGAAACUGGGAAACUUGAGUGCAGAAGAGGACAGUGGAACUCCAUGUGUAGCGGUGAAAUGCGUAGAUAUAUGGAAGAACACCAGUGGCGAAGGCGGCUGUCUGGUCUGUAACUGACGCUGAGGCUCGAAAGUAUGGGUAGCAAACAGGAUUAGAUACCCUGGUAGUCCAUACCGU